UCAGCUGGCCGGGCGGCCGCGCCCGCAAGAGCCGAAAGGCUGCGGGUGAGGAAAGUCCGGGCUCCAUGGAGACACGGUGCCGGCUAACGGCCGGCGGGGGAGACCCCAGGGAAAGUGCCACAGAAAGCAAACCGCCGCGGCAUUUGCCGCGGCAAGGGUGAAAGGGUGGGGUAAGAGCCCACCGCGCGACUGGCAACAGAAGCGGCACGGCAAACC
Molecule: RNase P RNA, 216 nt
Filed under: Mesorhizobium sp.
Lineage: Bacteria; Pseudomonadati; Pseudomonadota; Alphaproteobacteria; Hyphomicrobiales; Phyllobacteriaceae
Description: partial RNase P RNA component class A
Rfam family: Bacterial RNase P class A
About the family: Ribonuclease P (RNase P) is a ubiquitous endoribonuclease, found in archaea, bacteria and eukarya as well as chloroplasts and mitochondria. Its best characterised activity is the generation of mature 5'-ends of tRNAs by cleaving the 5'-leader elements of precursor-tRNAs.
Source: RNAcentral